AUCUCUUACAACCUGUAAAAAAAAGCACAAAUUUGAGGAAUGCAAAGGAACAAACACCUCCUGUCCAUACAACACAACAUGUAAUAAUUUCCAAGAAAAGAAAAUCAAACUUAUGAACUAAACCAAAGCUUCUCAUGAUUCAGUUUUAAACCAUUACUAAAAAAAAUUCAUAGAUAGUGAAAAUACAUCAUUCAUCCGACUUUUAAAACAUAAGACAUAAUCAAAACAUAGAC
RNAcentral lists this long non-coding RNA (233 nucleotides) under Brassica napus (rape). Its description in RNAcentral is "long non-coding RNA (BNAP_LNC011603)". Lineage: Eukaryota; Viridiplantae; Streptophyta; Magnoliopsida; Brassicales; Brassicaceae. The record is from RNAcentral.